UACGUAGGUGGCAAGCGUUGUCCGGAAUUAUUGGGCGUAAAGGGCUCGUAGGCGGUUUGUCGCGUCGGGAGUGAAAUCCACUGGCUUAACUGGUGGCUUGCUUUCGAUACGGGCAGACUAGAGGCAUUCAGGGGAGAACGGAAUUCCUGGUGUAGCGGUGAAAUGCGCAGAUAUCAGGAGGAACACCGGUGGCGAAGGCGGUUCUCUGGGAAUGUUCUGACGCUGAGGAGCGAAAGUGUGGGGAGCGAACAGG
Molecule: ribosomal RNA, 253 nt
Filed under: uncultured bacterium
Lineage: Bacteria
Description: partial 16S ribosomal RNA
Rfam family: Bacterial small subunit ribosomal RNA
Source: RNAcentral